GCCCAUUGCGCGCUCGCCAAAGCGAAGGGGGAGCCUCCGGAUCUCGCUCGGCCGCCCCUCGUGCCUUCCCCAUCCACUCGGCUCGCUUCUCCUCCGGAGGCCCCGCCCUUCAUUUCUGCCCUUAAAUUCACAAUGGAUGAAGACAAGGAGGAUGUGGAAGAAGAGAGCCCGGAGGGGAUUCCUGCCUCAGGCACAGCAAUCCUGGUUCAAGAUGGAAGUGUGCUGGAUGUGGAUGGAUCACUGAUGAAAGAUAAGGAGAGAGCCUCAAGGACACGAAGGAAAAGGCUGAGAACUAGAGCGAAGAAAGGCAUAGGAGUGACCCAAGGCAUUCAGGUGCAGUCAUAAUUGAUCGCAGAGGAC
Heteronotia binoei (common prickly gecko) is the source of this 360-nucleotide long non-coding RNA. RefSeq lists it as uncharacterized. NCBI's taxonomy places the organism in Eukaryota, Metazoa, Chordata, Lepidosauria, Squamata, Gekkonidae. The record is from RefSeq and is a predicted model, not a curated record. The transcript has 3 exons.